This 1953-nucleotide ribosomal RNA is filed under the name Streptomyces sp. SID8378. RNAcentral's name for it is "partial 23S ribosomal RNA". It matches the Rfam family "Bacterial large subunit ribosomal RNA", at positions 1 to 1757 of the family's 2925-position model. The record is from RNAcentral. Lineage: Bacteria; Bacillati; Actinomycetota; Actinomycetes; Kitasatosporales; Streptomycetaceae.
ACAGUGGACGCGAGCAUCUGUGGCCAAGUUUUUAAGGGCGCACGGUGGAUGCCUUGGCACCAGGAACCGAUGAAGGACGUGGGAGGCCACGAUAGUCCCCGGGGAGCUGUCAACCAAGCUUUGAUCCGGGGGUUUCCGAAUGGGGAAACCCGGCAGUCGUCAUGGGCUGUCACCCGCUGCUGAACACAUAGGCAGUGUGGAGGGAACGAGGGGAAGUGAAACAUCUCAGUACCCUCAGGAAGAGAAAACAACCGUGAUUCCGGGAGUAGUGGCGAGCGAAACUGGAUGAGGCCAAACCGUAUGCGUGUGAUACCCGGCAGGGGUUGCGCAUGCGGGGUUGUGGGAUCUCUCUUUCACAGUCUGCCGGCUGUGAGACGAGUCAGAAACCGUUGAUGUAGGCGAAGGACAUGCGAAAGGUCCGGCGUAGAGGGUAAGACCCCCGUAGCUGAAACAUCAGCGGCUUGUUUGAGAGACACCCAAGUAGCACGGGGCCCGAGAAAUCCCGUGUGAAUCUGGCGGGACCACCCGCUAAGCCUAAAUAUUCCCUGGUGACCGAUAGCGGAUAGUACCGUGAGGGAAUGGUGAAAAGUACCGCGGGAGCGGAGUGAAAUAGUACCUGAAACCGUGUGCCUACAAGCCGUGGGAGCGUCGCGCAUCGAGCUUGCUCGGUGCGUCGUGACUGCGUGCCUUUUGAAGAAUGAGCCUGCGAGUUAGCGGUGUGUAGCGAGGUUAACCCGUGUGGGGAAGCCGUAGCGAAAGCGAGUCCGAACAGGGCGUUUGAGUUGCACGCUCUAGACCCGAAGCGGAGUGAUCUAGCCAUGGGCAGGUUGAAGCGGAGGUAAGACUUCGUGGAGGACCGAACCCACCAGGGUUGAAAACCUGGGGGAUGACCUGUGGUUAGGGGUGAAAGGCCAAUCAAACUCCGUGAUAGCUGGUUCUCCCCGAAAUGCAUUUAGGUGCAGCGUCGUGUGUUUCUUGCCGGAGGUAGAGCACUGGAUAGGCGAUGGGCCCUACCGGGUUACUGACCUUAGCCAAACUCCGAAUGCCGGUAAGUGAGAGCGCGGCAGUGAGACUGUGGGGGAUAAGCUCCAUGGUCGAGAGGGAAACAGCCCAGAGCAUCGACUAAGGCCCCUAAGCGUACGCUAAGUGGGAAAGGAUGUGGAGUCGCAGAGACAACCAGGAGGUUGGCUUAGAAGCAGCCACCCUUGAAAGAGUGCGUAAUAGCUCACUGGUCAAGUGAUUCCGCGCCGACAAUGUAGCGGGGCUCAAGCGUACCGCCGAAGUCGUGUCAUUCACACAUAUAGGGCCAACGCCUGUGUGGAUGGGUAGGGGAGCGUCGUGUGCCGGGUGAAGCAGCCGCGGAAGCGAGUUGUGGACGGUUCACGAGUGAGAAUGCAGGCAUGAGUAGCGAUACACACGUGAGAAACGUGUGCGCCGAUUGACUAAGGGUUCCUGGGUCAAGCUGAUCUGCCCAGGGUAAGUCGGGACCUAAGGCGAGGCCGACAGGCGUAGUCGAUGGACAACCGGUUGAUAUUCCGGUACCCGCUUUGAAACGCCCAGUACUGAAUCAGGCGAUGCUAAGUCCGUGAAGCCGGCCCGAUCUCUUCGGAGUUGAGGGUAGUGGUGGAGCCGAUGAACCAGACUUGUAGUAGGUAAGCGAUGGGGUGACGCAGGAAGGUAGUCCAGCCCGGGCGGUGGUUGUCCCGGGGUAAGGGUGUAGGACGCACGGUAGGCAAAUCCGUCGUGCAUAUAGUCUGAGACCUGAUGCCGAGCCGAUUGUGGUGAAGUGGAUGAUCCUAUGCUGUCGAGAAAAGCCUCUAGCGAGUUUCAUGGCGGCCCGUACCCUAAACCGACUCAGGUGGUCAGGUAGAGAAUACCGAGGCGUUCGGGUGAACUAUGGUUAAGGAACUCGGCAAAAUGCCCCCGUAACUUCGGGAGAAGGGGGGCCAUCAC